Dendrobium catenatum is the source of this 104-nucleotide small nuclear RNA. Lineage: Eukaryota; Viridiplantae; Streptophyta; Magnoliopsida; Asparagales; Orchidaceae. The record is from RefSeq and is a predicted model, not a curated record.
AUCUCUUUGGAGACAUCAGACAAAAUUGGAACGAUACAGAGAAGAUUAGCAUAGCCUCUACACAAGGGUGACACGCCAUAAGUCGAGAAAUGGUCCCUAAAAGG